RNAcentral lists this transfer RNA (86 nucleotides) under Saprospiraceae bacterium. RNAcentral describes it as "tRNA-Tyr". It matches the Rfam family "tRNA". Rfam says of the family: Transfer RNA (tRNA) molecules are approximately 80 nucleotides in length. The record is from RNAcentral. Lineage: Bacteria; Pseudomonadati; Bacteroidota; Saprospiria; Saprospirales; Saprospiraceae.
GGGGGUGCGCCGAAGUUGGAGAGACGGGGCAGACUGUAAAUCUGUUGGCUACGCCUGAGUAGGUUCGAAUCCCACCACCCCCACCA